This 21-nucleotide microRNA is filed under the name Heligmosomoides polygyrus. RNAcentral describes it as "hpo-miR-10068-5p". Lineage: Eukaryota; Metazoa; Nematoda; Chromadorea; Rhabditida; Heligmosomidae. The record is from miRBase by way of RNAcentral.
AAUCCGGGGAGAGGGUCAAGC